This 408-nucleotide ribosomal RNA is filed under the name Eutreptiella gymnastica. RNAcentral's name for it is "partial Bacterial large subunit ribosomal RNA". It matches the Rfam family "Bacterial large subunit ribosomal RNA", at positions 316 to 725 of the family's 2925-position model. The record is from RNAcentral. Lineage: Eukaryota; Euglenozoa; Euglenophyceae; Eutreptiales; Eutreptiaceae.
AAUAUUUAACGUUUUAGUGGAACAAGCUGGAAAGCUUAGCGAUACAGGGUGAUAGCCCCGUACACGAAAAGGCGUUAAAGGUACUAAGCUUGCGACAAGUAGGGCGGGGCACGAGAAACCUUGUCUGAACAUGGGGGGACCAUCCUCCAAGGCUAAAUACUCCUAACUGACCGAUAGUGAACCAGUACCGUGAGGGAAAGGCGAAAAGAACCCCUGUGAGGGGAGUGAAAUAGAACCUGAAACCGUAUACGUACAAGCAGUGGGAGCAGACUUGUUCUGUGACUGCGUACCUUUUGUAUAAUGGGUCAGCGACUUAAUUUAUGUAGCGAGCUUAACCGAAUAGGGGAGGCGAAGGGAAACCGAGUCUUAAUAGGGCGAUUAGUUGCAUGGAUUAGACCCGAAACCUGG